AAAAACCGGAGGCUGAUAAGGAUUGCAGGAAACUCAUGGAGUUGUUCCGAGGUUAAAAUGAGAGUCUGCCUGUGGAAGGACAUUGCAGAUGAUAGAAGACACAGAUAAGGAGGUCAGAUCUCAAGAGGACAGGAGUCAUGUGAACACGUGGGAAGAAGAAGAAACUACAGAGACUGUGAAUGAGCCCCCAGAAGUCAAGGGCAUUAUCUGAUAAUCCAGAGACUGGGAGCUGCGACCAUCACUGGAAGGGAGAGUGAGACACAACGGGAUGGCUGCAGGAGCAGAAAUCAGGAGUGAGGCCUGAUCCAAAGCCUGACUGCAACUCUUUACUUCCGAUGUAGGUGAAGCCUUUGCUAAAAUGCACUCAGCUCUCAGCUAGUCCUACUUAGGGGAAGAACCAGCUCCAAGAGUAAUCCAAAAUGGUGGGUAAUCUUAGAAAGUAUUUAAAUAUGGCCUUAGAAUAUAGGAUAAAGUCAGGCCCUCUAAAAAGUGUUAGCUUGCUUAGCCUUAGAUGUAUGUUCUUAAUCACUUUUUACUUAAGCUGAACUGGGUUGCAUAGCAAUUGGAUGGGAGGCAGGGCAUCCAGGGGAGCCCAACAAGAGGAAAAGGAAGAGCGUGCCCGGGAUUGAACACACCCAGAGGGGAAUCAGGAGUUGGCCCCUUUGGGCUUAUGCACAAGAGCAAGUGAAAUGCCACAAGCAAGUAAAGGUGGCUCAUUUUAAGAGACAGGUCUCUAUAGGGUCUCAACUUCCUGACCGUGCCCCCAACAAAGCUGCAAAGGAUGGAAGGGCAAUAAAAUCUGUGGGCUUAGAGAAUGUUGGGGACAUCUUUACCCUGGUCCUGGGCUCAAGAUCCUGCAGUUUCUUGAGCCAUUACUGCUUUUAAGAGAAUAGGGCUGAAUCUGGAGAUCCCAGGUGCUGGGAGAAGGGGAGCCUGGGCUAUUGGGUUGUCUGUGCGGAUUUGCUGGAAGGAAGGAAGGGUCAUGGCAAGGAGGCCUAUAUUAGGCUACCAGCUGUCCCAGGUACUUUCACACCCUGCACCCAGGUUUCUGGUGGGAGGAAGGUGAAUUGGUAGAGACCCCAUGCAAUUCCUGGUCUUAGUCAGAUAUCUGCUUGAUGUGGUGGCCCAUCCUCCUGCUUGAAACCUAGGAGUUACUUCUCAGGAGUGAAAUCUGGUAGUGAGAGAAAAGAAUAGAGAAAGAGAUUCCUUGAAAGAUCCUGGGGGAUAUAGACACAGGCCAGGCAAAGGUGAUUACAUCUGAUCUUUUGUUUGUGCCUGUUAAUUCAUAGCUCUGGGGGCAGGGCAAUGGGUCUGAGUAUAUGUCUGCAUUUCAUGUGUAUUGUGCGAUAUUUUUGGGCAUGUGUGCUAUGUAUCUUGUAUGCCUAUUAUAAGUUAAUGCAUCGUGUGUAUAUACUGAGUUUGUGUGUAUUUUAUGUGUAGAAACAAUGGUAAAGUAGCCUUUGUGUAUCUUAUAUGCAUAUGCAUUUUGUCCAUGUAGUUUUUUAUGUAUUUUGCAUCUGAGUUUCAGGUUGUAUAUUUGUAUGUGGUGUAUGUUUGUCUUUUGUGUAUGUUCUGUGUAAAUUCUAUAUCUGUGCAGAGUGUGCAUUUUAUAUACAAUUAUAACCAUAUAUCUUCUGUGUUUGCUUUUAUGUUAACCUGGUCUGUCUGUAUUUUGCACGUUACAUGUUUUAUGUUUGUGUGUGACAACAGUGUACCUAUUUUGUGGUGAAUGUGCAUGACUGUAUGUGAACAUUUUAGAGUCCUGGGCCAAGGACACUGUGAUAAGAUAUCUAUCCCUGACCUAGGCCUCAGAUAUGGGUUGCUUUACCUUCUAUUUUCCAAAGAUCUGUGUCCCUCCCACCCCAUGCCUUGGAAAUUCAGCACCACCUCCCAUGAAGGAGAGGAAGAGAAGCACAGAGGCUUUGUGCUGGGCAUGGGAUGCCCUGCAGAUACCUGGGGAUGUGGGUGACCAGGCACUAAUGAGCACCCUGGGCCUAGCACCCUGAGCUGGUGCCCCAUGCCCCAAGACAACUGUAGGUGCUAACUAGGCAGCAGUGAGGCCUGGGCUGGAGCCACCCCUGCAUAGCCCGACCCCUGCAAUUCACUGUUUGGGAAAAUUAAGCUACUCCGUCAAAAGGCAAAGACGCCCAGUCUGGUGAGUUAAAAGCCCCCUACCUGAAGCCAUUUCAGGGUCAACCUACUGUCUACCUUUAGGCUGUGCAGUGCUCAUUUGCACUCUACUUCUUCUGGGGGGUGGGAAAUGAUUCUUUACCCAUCCUUUGGUUCUUUUUAAAAAGCAGCUCUGGUUGCCAGUUUAAUGGGGAGAGAGUUUGGGUCUGGAGAUCAAAAUGAUGCCUUUGGAUCAUCUAGGGACUCCAUCACUUAGUCCCGGACUUCAGACAUUUCCACAUAGAGGAGGCUCCCUUUAGGUCCAGAUCAGUGGAAUUUGGUCCCAGGGAGUCCUACUCCUUGGUGUCCUUGGUUUCAAAGCAGGGGAUCCAUUCUGGCUCUUUAGCGAAAGGUUUGUGAAAGUGACGGAUGCAGAGCCAAAUGAUAAUAAGAUCCAAGUGGCAAGGGAAGAGGUGAAAAUGGAGAUGAUGAACAGGAUGAACUGUAGAGAGGAGGCCCGGGGUGGGUCUGGCCCAGGACAGCUGGAACUGUGAGGGCCACAGGGCCCUUGUGCACUCAGUAAGACAAGCUUCAGCCAUGGGAACUGAAGCUGCAGCACAUGGAGGGCAGAAAGACAAUUCUAACGUCUAGGAAUCCAUGGAUACCGGAGUGUCUGAGGCAAUGGCAGCAAACCCAGGCCCAGUGGGGUUACCAAUGAGACAAAUUAACCCAUUAGGCCUCUUAGACAGCCAACCCACCAAGCAGUGGAUUUGCUCCUGAACCUGAACUCCAGAAAAUGAAUAUAUAUAUAUAUAUAUGUGUGUGUGUGUGUGUGUGUGUGUGUGUGUGUGUAUACAUAUACACACAUAUGUAUGUAUAUAUAUACACCCUAGUGCACAUAGUCAAACACAUGCAUAAAUUGCCCUUUGUCAAAAAUAUUGCAUAAGCUUGUACAAUGUUCAAAUGCAAUUUCUUUUCUAUCACUAGCUAGGUAGAGGAACGCGUGAAAGAGAGAUACUCGAUAUAUAUUUAUAUACACUGGAUCCACAGACCUGCCUGUCAUCAGGACCAGAUGCCCUGGUCCACUGUACAGUCAUGCCCGCG
Molecule: long non-coding RNA, 3213 nt
Filed under: Homo sapiens (human)
Lineage: Eukaryota; Metazoa; Chordata; Mammalia; Primates; Hominidae
Description: HSALNT0012554
Source: RNAcentral